Long non-coding RNA from Aptenodytes forsteri (emperor penguin), 933 nucleotides. RefSeq lists it as uncharacterized. The record is from RefSeq and is a predicted model, not a curated record. The transcript is spliced from 6 exons. Lineage: Eukaryota; Metazoa; Chordata; Aves; Sphenisciformes; Spheniscidae.
UCUUCUGUCUUUUUACUUUGCUGGAGCUUCACACCAGGACUGAGCAGUGAAGUGUGUUGCUGCUGGGUCUUUUUAUUCUGCCUGAACUCUCUUUUCAGACGUUUGCGGUUACCAAACCUACUUGGCUAAAAAAAAAAACCCAGUCUCCGAGCAGGAGGACGAAGCCCCUUCCUAGCACUAAAACUUUUGCUGCUGCGUUGUAAAAGGCACCUCCCGUACCUGGCCGACAGUUUUGGCCAGAAAUGGUGAGAAGAAAAAGCAUGAAGAAGCCGCGAAGUGGAGGAGAAAAGGUGAAGGGAGAUGCAGCUCCUGGAGAAAUUGUAAAAAGCCUUGCAAAGAGUUGUCGGAAGGACCGUUAUUCCUGCUGGGCAGGAGCGAGAGGAGAGACCCUGAAACACACGCCACCUAUCUUUGUGGGGAGGGAUAAUUGAAGAGCACCAAACAUAUGGAUCAGGGGUGAGAUGGGCUCUUCCUGGCUCUGCUCUCCCUUGGAAGUGGCUGGACGGGCAGAGGGACAGCGCGGACGAGUAACGCGUGGGACCGAACUUCAGGGAGGUUACAAGUUUUUCACCUUUUUCAAGAUGCGUGACUUGUCCACGCCUAAAUAUACCUGUAGAUACAGAGGCAUAUCACACACCCAAAGCGACGAUAUCUUAAUGAAAUGUAUAGCACAGUGCGAACAUCCUGAAAUCAGAUUCAAGCAUUAUUAAUUUGAAUUAGGUCCUCUCAGAUCCAGAAGACACUGCCUAUAAAUCAAGGGCAGUCUGGCAAUUCCUUAAAGAGCUAAACUGAAUUUAGAUGCGUAUGAUAAAAAGAAAGAAAAAGAAAAAAGUGAAUGCUAAUUACUGACUCGCUCGAUUUCCAGUCACCCACGUUUCAGAUGAAAAAAAGGGAAAAAACAACAAACAACCAACAAGUUCUCAAAAUAAAUUA